Molecule: ribosomal RNA, 466 nt
Filed under: uncultured bacterium
Lineage: Bacteria
Description: partial 16S ribosomal RNA
Rfam family: Bacterial small subunit ribosomal RNA
Source: RNAcentral
ACGAACGCUGGCGGCGUGCUUAACCCCUGCAAGUCGAACGGAAAGGCCCUGCUUUUGUGGGGUGCUCGAGUGGCGAACGGGUGAGUAACACGUGAGUAACCUGCCCUUGACUUUGGGAUAACUUCAGGAAACUGGGGCUAAUACCGGAUAGGAGCUCCUGCUGCAUGGUGGGGGUUGGAAAGUUUCGGCGGUUGGGGAUGGACUCGCGGCUUAUCAGCUUGUUGGUGGGGUAGUGGCUUACCAAGGCUUUGACGGGUGGCCGGCCUGAGAGGGUGACCGGCCACAUUGGGACUGAGAUACGGCCCAGACUCCUACGGGAGGCAGGAGUGGGGAAUAUUGCACAAUGGGCGGAAGCAUGAUGCAGCAACGCCGCGUGCGGGAAGACGGCCUUCGGGUUGUAAACCGCUUUCGCCUGUGACGAAGCGUGAGUGACGGUAAUGGGUAAAGAAGCACCGCCUAACUACGU